This 2923-nucleotide ribosomal RNA is filed under the name Klebsiella quasipneumoniae subsp. similipneumoniae. RNAcentral describes it as "bacterial LSU rRNA". It matches the Rfam family "Bacterial large subunit ribosomal RNA". Lineage: Bacteria; Pseudomonadati; Pseudomonadota; Gammaproteobacteria; Enterobacterales; Enterobacteriaceae. The record is from RNAcentral.
GGGUUGUGAGGUUAAGCGACUAAGCGUACACGGUGGAUGCCCUGGCAGUCAGAGGCGAUGAAGGACGUGCUAAUCUGCGAAAAGCGUCGGUAAGGUGAUAUGAACCGUUAUAACCGGCGAUGUCCGAAUGGGGAAACCCAGUGCAAUUCGUUGCACUAUCGUUAACUGAAUACAUAGGUUAACGAGGCGAACCGGGGGAACUGAAACAUCUAAGUACCCCGAGGAAAAGAAAUCAACCGAGAUUCCCCCAGUAGCGGCGAGCGAACGGGGAGCAGCCCAGAGUCUGAAUCAGCUUGUGUGUUAGUGGAACGGUCUGGAAAGUCCGACGGUACAGGGUGAUAGUCCCGUACACCAAAAUGCACAGGUUGUGAACUCGAAGAGUAGGGCGGGACACGUGGUAUCCUGUCUGAAUAUGGGGGGACCAUCCUCCAAGGCUAAAUACUCCUGACUGACCGAUAGUGAACCAGUACCGUGAGGGAAAGGCGAAAAGAACCCCGGCGAGGGGAGUGAAAAAGAACCUGAAACCGUGUACGUACAAGCAGUGGGAGCACCUUUAGGUGUGACUGCGUACCUUUUGUAUAAUGGGUCAGCGACUUAUAUUCUGUAGCAAGGUUAACCGUAUAGGGGAGCCGCAGGGAAACCGAGUCUUAACUGGGCGUUAAGUUGCAGGGUAUAGACCCGAAACCCGGUGAUCUAGCCAUGGGCAGGUUGAAGGUUGGGUAACACUAACUGGAGGACCGAACCGACUAAUGUUGAAAAAUUAGCGGAUGACUUGUGGCUGGGGGUGAAAGGCCAAUCAAACCGGGAGAUAGCUGGUUCUCCCCGAAAGCUAUUUAGGUAGCGCCUCGUGAACUCAUCUUCGGGGGUAGAGCACUGUUUCGGCUAGGGGGUCAUCCCGACUUACCAACCCGAUGCAAACUACGAAUACCGAAGAAUGUUAUCACGGGAGACACACGGCGGGUGCUAACGUCCGUCGUGAAGAGGGAAACAACCCAGACCGCCAGCUAAGGUCCCAAAGUCAUGGUUAAGUGGGAAACGAUGUGGGAAGGCACAGACAGCCAGGAUGUUGGCUUAGAAGCAGCCAUCAUUUAAAGAAAGCGUAAUAGCUCACUGGUCGAGUCGGCCUGCGCGGAAGAUGUAACGGGGCUAAACCAUGCACCGAAGCUGCGGCAGCGACACGAUGUGUUGUUGGGUAGGGGAGCGUUCUGUAAGCCUGCGAAGGUGACCUGUGAGGGUUGCUGGAGGUAUCAGAAGUGCGAAUGCUGACAUAAGUAACGAUAAAGCGGGUGAAAAGCCCGCUCGCCGGAAGACCAAGGGUUCCUGUCCAACGUUAAUCGGGGCAGGGUGAGUCGACCCCUAAGGCGAGGCCGAAAGGCGUAGUCGAUGGGAAACAGGUUAAUAUUCCUGUACUUGGUGUUACUGCGAAGGGGGGACGGAGAAGGCUAUGUUAGCCGGGCGACGGUUGUCCCGGUUUAAGCAUGUAGGCUGGUUAUCCAGGCAAAUCCGGAUAAUCAAGGCUGAGGUGUGAUGACGAGGCACUACGGUGCUGAAGUAACAAAUGCCCUGCUUCCAGGAAAAGCCUCUAAGCAUCAGGUAACAUCAAAUCGUACCCCAAACCGACACAGGUGGUCAGGUAGAGAAUACCAAGGCGCUUGAGAGAACUCGGGUGAAGGAACUAGGCAAAAUGGUGCCGUAACUUCGGGAGAAGGCACGCUGGUGUGUAGGUGAAGUCCCUGCGGAUGGAGCUGAGACCAGUCGAAGAUACCAGCUGGCUGCAACUGUUUAUUAAAAACACAGCACUGUGCAAACACGAAAGUGGACGUAUACGGUGUGACGCCUGCCCGGUGCCGGAAGGUUAAUUGAUGGGGUUAUCCGUAAGGAGAAGCUCUUGAUCGAAGCCCCGGUAAACGGCGGCCGUAACUAUAACGGUCCUAAGGUAGCGAAAUUCCUUGUCGGGUAAGUUCCGACCUGCACGAAUGGCGUAAUGAUGGCCAGGCUGUCUCCACCCGAGACUCAGUGAAAUUGAACUCGCUGUGAAGAUGCAGUGUACCCGCGGCAAGACGGAAAGACCCCGUGAACCUUUACUAUAGCUUGACACUGAACAUUGAGCCUUGAUGUGUAGGAUAGGUGGGAGGCUUUGAAGCGUGGACGCCAGUCUGCGUGGAGCCAACCUUGAAAUACCACCCUUUAAUGUUUGAUGUUCUAACGUUGGCCCCUUACCGGGGUUGCGGACAGUGUCUGGUGGGUAGUUUGACUGGGGCGGUCUCCUCCCAAAGCGUAACGGAGGAGCACGAAGGUUAGCUAAUCCUGGUCGGACAUCAGGAGGUUAGUGCAAUGGCAUAAGCUAGCUUGACUGCGAGCGUGACGGCGCGAGCAGGUGCGAAAGCAGGUCAUAGUGAUCCGGUGGUUCUGAAUGGAAGGGCCAUCGCUCAACGGAUAAAAGGUACUCCGGGGAUAACAGGCUGAUACCGCCCAAGAGUUCAUAUCGACGGCGGUGUUUGGCACCUCGAUGUCGGCUCAUCACAUCCUGGGGCUGAAGUAGGUCCCAAGGGUAUGGCUGUUCGCCAUUUAAAGUGGUACGCGAGCUGGGUUUAGAACGUCGUGAGACAGUUCGGUCCCUAUCUGCCGUGGGCGCUGGAGAAUUGAGGGGGGCUGCUCCUAGUACGAGAGGACCGGAGUGGACGCAUCACUGGUGUUCGGGUUGUCAUGCCAAUGGCACUGCCCGGUAGCUAAAUGCGGAAGAGAUAAGUGCUGAAAGCAUCUAAGCACGAAACUUGCCCCGAGAUGAGUUCUCCCUGAGACUUUAAGUCUCCUGAAGGAACGUUGAAGACGACGACGUUGAUAGGCCGGGUGUGUAAGCGCAGCGAUGCGUUGAGCUAACCGGUACUAAUGAACCGUGAGGCUUAACCUUACAACGCCGAAG